Molecule: ribosomal RNA, 500 nt
Filed under: uncultured bacterium
Lineage: Bacteria
Description: bacterial SSU rRNA
Rfam family: Bacterial small subunit ribosomal RNA
Source: RNAcentral
GACGAACGCUGGCGGCGUGGAUUAGGCAUGCAAGUCGAACGGUAGGAUACCUUCGGGUAUCUGAGAGUGGCGAACGGGUGAGUAACACGUAGGUGAUCUACCCUCAAGAUUGGGACAACCCAGGGAAACUUGGGCUAAUACCGGAUGAAAGCAGCAGUGAUGUUGUUUGAAAGGUGGCGUAAGCUGCCGUUUGGGGAUGAGCCUGCGCUCUAUUAGUUAGUUGGCGGGGUAAAGGCCCACCAAGGCGAUGAUAGAUAGGCGGCCUUAACGGGUGGUCGCCCACACUGGGAUUGAGAUACGGCCCAGACUCCUACGGGAGGCAGCAGUCGAGAAUAGUCUACAAUGGCCGAAAGGCUGAUAGUGCGACGCCGCGUGAACGAAGAAGCCCUUCGGGGUGUAAAGUUCUUUUAUAUGUGAGCAGUGCUUUCUAUGUGUAACAGCAAUGGGGAGAGAGAUAUUAGCAUAUGAAUAAGCAACGGCUAACUCCGUGCCAGCAGCCG